GACGAACGCUGGCGGCGUGCUUAACACAUGCAAGUCGAACGGAAAGGCCCUGCUUUUGUGGGGUGCUCGAGUGGCGAACGGGUGAGUAACACGUGAGUAACCUGCCCUUGACUUUGGGAUAACUUCAGGAAACUGGGGCUAAUACCGGAUAGGAGCUCCUGCUGCAUGGUGGGGGUUGGAAAGUUUCGGCGGUUGGGGAUGGACUCGCGGCUUAUCAGCUUGUUGGUGGGGUAGUGGCUUACCAAGGCUUUGACGGGUAGCCGGCCUGAGAGGGUGACCGGCCACAUUGGGACUGAGAGAAGGCCCAGACUCCUACGGGGGGCAGCAGUGGGGAAUAUUGCACAAUGGGCGGAAGCCUGAUGCAGCAACUCCGCGUGCGGGAUGACGGCCUUCGGGUUGUAAACCGCUUUCGCCUGUGACGAAGCGUGAGUGACGGUAAUGGGUAAAGAAGCACCGGCUAACUACGUG
RNAcentral lists this ribosomal RNA (468 nucleotides) under uncultured bacterium. RNAcentral's name for it is "partial 16S ribosomal RNA". It matches the Rfam family "Bacterial small subunit ribosomal RNA", at positions 28 to 507 of the family's 1533-position model. The record is from RNAcentral.